This 363-nucleotide long non-coding RNA is filed under the name Panax ginseng (ginseng). RNAcentral's name for it is "long non-coding RNA (PGIN_LNC015480)". The record is from RNAcentral. Lineage: Eukaryota; Viridiplantae; Streptophyta; Magnoliopsida; Apiales; Araliaceae.
CGCGCCUCUUCAAGAUCCACAAGCCUCCCCUUCUCUAGCAAAACCAAAACCCUAGAAGUCGCGUGGGAGGAGAGAGAAAGCUAUAAGAUCUUUCUCUAUUUACUCACUUCGCUUCUCCCUCGUUCCUCUCCGAUCCAUACUGAAAUUUAGGUAAACUCACAAGGAUUAGAUCUUUGAAUUUUUACACGCACAGAAGUUGUAUUGAACUAACUGUUUAUGGGUUUUUGUUAGGGUUUUGGUUUACGUUGUGAGAGAGAUCAAUCACUAAUGGCGGCGGAGCAAUCUGUAUUUGCUCAAAUUGUAUCUAAAUGGAUUUGGUUCCAUUUAAUUGGUAGUUGAAUUUUCUAAUGAAAAAUAAGUGGG